This 301-nucleotide ribosomal RNA is filed under the name uncultured bacterium. RNAcentral's name for it is "partial 16S ribosomal RNA". It matches the Rfam family "Bacterial small subunit ribosomal RNA", at positions 509 to 807 of the family's 1533-position model. The record is from RNAcentral.
CAGUCGCCGCGGUAAUACGUAGGGUGCGAGCGUUAAUCGGAAUUACUGGGCGUAAAGCGUGCGCAGGCGGUUAUAUAAGACAGAUGUGAAAUCCCCGGGCUCAACCUGGGACCUGCAUUUGUGACUGUAUAGCUAGAGUACGGUAGAGGGGGAUGGAAUUCCGCGUGUAGCAGUGAAAUGCGUAGAUAUGCGGAGGAACACCGAUGGCGAAGGCAAUCCCCUGGACCUGUACUGACGCUCAUGCAUGAAAGCGUGGGGAGCAAACAGGAUUAGAGACCCCUGUAGUCCCUGUCUCUUAUAC